CCUACGGGAGGCAGCAGUGGGGGAUAUUGCACAAUGGGGGAAACCCUGAUGCAGCGACGCCGCGUGUAGGAAGACGGGCAGAGGGAGGGUAAACUACUGUCCCCAGGGACGAAGAUGACGGUACCUGGGGAGGAAGCUCCGGCUAACUACGUGCCAGCAGCCGCGGUAAUACGUAGGGAGCGAGCGUUGUCCGGAAUUACUGGGUGUAAAGGGAGCGUAGGCGGGGAUGCAAGUUGGGUGUUAAAUCUACCGGCUCAACUGGUAGUCGCACUCAAAACUGCAGCUCUUGAGUGAAGUAGAGGCAGGCGGAAUUCCUAGUGUAGCGGUGAAAUGCGUAGAUAUUAGGAGGAACACCAGUGGCGAAGGCGGCCUGCUGGGCUUUUACUGACGCUGAGGCUCGAAAGUGUGGGGAGCAAACAGGAUUAGAUACCCCAGUAGUC
Molecule: ribosomal RNA, 440 nt
Filed under: uncultured bacterium
Lineage: Bacteria
Description: partial 16S ribosomal RNA
Rfam family: Bacterial small subunit ribosomal RNA
Source: RNAcentral